CGGGUCGUAAAGCUCUGUUGUUAGGGAAGAACAAGUAUCGGAGUAACUGCCGGUACCUUGACGGUACCUAACCAGAAAGCCACGGCUAACUACGUGCCAGCAGCCGCGGUAAUACGUAGGUGGCAAGCGUUGUCCGGAAUUAUUGGGCGUAAAGCGCGCGCAGGCGGUUCCUUAAGUCUGAUGUGAAAGCCCACGGCUUAACCGUGGAGGGUCAUUGGAAACUGGGGAACUUGAGUGCAGAAGAGAAGAGCGGAAUUCCACGUGUAGCGGUGAAAUGCGUAGAGAUGUGGAGGAACACCAGUGGCGAAGGCGGCUCUUUGGUCUGUAACUGACGCUGAGGCGCGAAAGCGUGGGGAGCGAACAGGAUUAGAUACCCUGGUAGUCCACGCCGUAAACGAUGAGUGCUAAGUGUUAGAGGGUUUCCGCCCUUUAGUGCUGCAGCAAACGCAUUAAGCACUCCGCCUGGGGAGUACGGCCGCAAGGCUGAAACUCAAAGGAAUUGACGGGGGCCCGCACAAGCGGUGGAGCAUGUGGUUUAAUUCGAAGCAACGCGAAGAACCUUACCAGGUCUUGACAUCCUCUGACACUCCUAGAGAUAGGACGUUCCCCUUCGGGGGACAGAGUGACAGGUGGUGCAUGGUUGUCGUCAGCUCGUGUCGUGAGAUGUUGGGUUAAGUCCCGCAACGAGCGCAACCCUUG
RNAcentral lists this ribosomal RNA (699 nucleotides) under uncultured Bacillus sp. RNAcentral's name for it is "bacterial SSU rRNA". It matches the Rfam family "Bacterial small subunit ribosomal RNA", at positions 419 to 1107 of the family's 1533-position model. The record is from RNAcentral. Lineage: Bacteria; Bacillati; Bacillota; Bacilli; Caryophanales; Bacillaceae.